AUUACCGCGGCUGCUGGCACGUAAUUGGCCGGGGCUUAUUCGCAGGAGUAACGUCAUCCCCGAGGCUUUCCACUCCCCGGGUUAUUCUUCUCCUGCAAAAGGACUUUACAACCUUACGGCCUUCAUCGUCCACGCGGCGUCGCUCCGUUCAGGGUUUCCCCCAUAGCGGAAGAUUCUUAGCUGCUGCCUCCCGUAGG
This 197-nucleotide ribosomal RNA is filed under the name uncultured Banisveld landfill bacterium BVA66. RNAcentral describes it as "partial 16S ribosomal RNA". The record is from RNAcentral.